This 440-nucleotide ribosomal RNA is filed under the name uncultured bacterium. RNAcentral's name for it is "partial 16S ribosomal RNA". It matches the Rfam family "Bacterial small subunit ribosomal RNA", at positions 338 to 795 of the family's 1533-position model. The record is from RNAcentral.
CCUACGGGAGGCAGCAGUAGGGAAUAUUGCUCAAUGGGGGUAACCCUGAAGCAGCAACGCCGCGUGGAGGAUGACGGUUUUCGGAUUUUAAAAUCUUUUUGUUAGAGAAGAUAAUGACGGUAUCUAACGAAUAAUCAACGGUUAACUCCGGGCCAGCCGCCGCGGUCAUACGGAAGGUGCCAGCGUUAAUCGGAAUCACUGGGCGUAAAGAGCGCGUGGGCGGGAAAGCAAGUCCGCUGUGAAAUCCUAUGGCUUAACCAUAGAACUGCAUGUGAAACUGUAAUUAGUGAGUGUGCGAGAGGUAGGUGGAAUUCGUGGUGUAGGGGUGAAAUCCGUAGAGAUCAAGAGGAAUACGCAUUGCGAAGGCAGCCUGCUAGAACAUAACUGACGCUGAUGCUCGAAAGCGUGGGUAUCGAACAGGAGUAGAUACCCCAGUAGUC